This 667-nucleotide long non-coding RNA is filed under the name Phoenix dactylifera (date palm). RNAcentral's name for it is "long non-coding RNA (PDAC_LNC014320)". The record is from RNAcentral. Lineage: Eukaryota; Viridiplantae; Streptophyta; Magnoliopsida; Arecales; Arecaceae.
AAAAGCGACAGAAACUAAGAAAUUUAUCCUUGCAAAUCAGUUAUUUUAUUUUUAAAUUAUAAAUAUCUCUUUUAUUUCUAAAUCCUUUUUUUCAAGAAGUUAUAUCAAUGUUGCUUAUUCAUUAUCAAUGUCUCCCUGUACUCAUUAGGUCGUGGCAUGGGUCUCUAAGGCAGGACAGUGGAUGAAGUCUGCCCCGGCCCCACAUCGGCCUUUCAUUGCGAUACAAGUCUUUCUGACUGGUUCCCAGCACCGGAAAUGGAGUUGCAGCCCUUACUGCCAUCACGAGCAUCCAGCACUGGUACCGCCAUAGUGGCUUGCUCUAGAUCUGUUUUUUUUAAUUAAAAAACAUUUUUUAAAAUAUUCUAAGGUGUUUGUUAAUUUGCUUGGCUCAUAUUCAAGAAAUAUAACAAAAGCAACUUUCUUGCAGAAACUAAGAAAUUUAUCCUUGCAAAUCAGUUAUUUUAUUUUUGAAUUAUAAAUGUCUCUUUUAUUUCUAAAUAAUUUCUUUUCUAGAAGUUAUAUCAAUGUUGCUUGUUCAAUAUCAAUGCCUCCCUGUAUAUCAUCAGGUCGUGAAAAUGAUCCCGAAGGCAGGACAGUGAACAUACGAUUGCCAUCCGAUAGGCCCAAAGCGCCACCCGAUAGGCCCAAAGCGACACCCAGAAGUGGU